CGCGUAGGUGGUAGUGUAAGUCUGAGGUGGAAUCCUAUGGCUUAACCAUAGAACUACCUUGGAUACUGUAUUACUUGAGUCAGUGAGGGGAGGGUAGAAUUCCUGGUGUAGCGGUGAAAUGCGUAGAUAUCAGGAGGAAGGCCUGUGGCGAAGGCGGCCCUCUGGCGCUGGACUGACACUGAGGCGCGAAAGCGUGGGGAGCAAACAGGAUUAGAUACCCUGGUAGUCCACGCCCUAAACGGUGGGCACUAGGUGUAGGGCUCGUAAGGGUUCUGUGCCGAAGGGAAACCAUUAAGUGCCCCGCCUGGGGAGUACGGCCGCAAGGUUGAA
This 330-nucleotide ribosomal RNA is filed under the name uncultured bacterium. Its description in RNAcentral is "bacterial SSU rRNA". It matches the Rfam family "Bacterial small subunit ribosomal RNA", at positions 568 to 898 of the family's 1533-position model. The record is from RNAcentral.